UACGUAGGGUGCGAGCGUUGUCCGGAAUUACUGGGCGUAAAGAGCUCGUAGGUGGUUUGUCGCGUUGUCCGUGAAAACUCACAGCUCAACUGUGGGCGUGCGGGCGAUACGGGCAGACUGGAGUACUGCAGGGGAGACUGGAAUUCCUGGUGUAGCGGUGGAAUGCGCAGAUAUCGAGAGGAACACCUGCGGCGAAGGCGGGUUGCUGGGCUGAUGACUGACGCUGAGGCGCGAAAGCCAGGGGAGCGAACGGG
This 254-nucleotide ribosomal RNA is filed under the name uncultured bacterium. Its description in RNAcentral is "partial 16S ribosomal RNA". It matches the Rfam family "Bacterial small subunit ribosomal RNA", at positions 524 to 776 of the family's 1533-position model. The record is from RNAcentral.